This 234-nucleotide ribosomal RNA is filed under the name uncultured bacterium. Its description in RNAcentral is "partial 16S ribosomal RNA". It matches the Rfam family "Bacterial small subunit ribosomal RNA", at positions 135 to 353 of the family's 1533-position model. The record is from RNAcentral.
AGGGGGACGAACAGUUGGAAACGACUGCUAAUACCGCAUACGAUCUAAUCUCGGCAUCGAGGAUGGAUGAAAGGUGGCCUCUAUUUAUAAGCUAUCACUGAAGGAGGGGAUUGCGUCUGAUUAGCUAGUUGGAGGGGUAACGGCCCACCAAGGCGAUGAUCAGUAGCCGGUCUGAGAGGAUGAACGGCCACAUUGGGACUGAGACACGGCCCAGACUCCUACGGAGGCAGCAUG